RNAcentral lists this ribosomal RNA (1005 nucleotides) under Clostridioides difficile. RNAcentral's name for it is "partial 23S ribosomal RNA". It matches the Rfam family "Bacterial large subunit ribosomal RNA", at positions 419 to 1434 of the family's 2925-position model. Lineage: Bacteria; Bacillati; Bacillota; Clostridia; Peptostreptococcales; Peptostreptococcaceae. The record is from RNAcentral.
GGGACACGUGAAACCCUGUGGGAAGCAGGAGGGACCACCCUCCAAGGCUAAAUACUACCUAGUGACCGAUAGCGUAUAGUACCGUGAGGGAAAGGUGAAAAGAACCCCGGGAGGGGAGUGAAAUAGAACCUGAAACCCUGCACUUACAAGCUGUGGAAGCACAUUUCUUGUGUGACCGCGUACUUUUUGUAGAACGGGCCAACGAGUUACGUUAAGUAGCAAGGUUAAGCACUUAAGGUGCGGAGCCGUAGCGAAAGCGAGUUUUAACUGAGCGUUCAGUUACUUGACGUAGACCCGAAACCGGGCGACCUACCCAUGAGCAGGAUGAAGCGAAAGUAAAAUUUCGUGGAGGUCCGAACCCACGAGCGUUGAAAAGCUCGGGGAUGACUUGUGGGUAGCGGUGAAAUUCCAAUCGAGCCCGGAGAUAGCUGGUUCUCCCCGAAAUAGCUUUAGGGCUAGCCUCAAGGUGAGAGAUACGGAGGUAGAGCACUGAAUGUCCUAGGGGGUAUUGCACCUACCGAAGACUAUCAAACUCCGAAUGCCGUCAUCUUAUACUUGGGAGUCAGACUGUGGGUGAUAAGAUUCAUAGUCGAAAGGGCAACAGCCCAGAUCGUCAGCUAAGGUCCCUAAAUGUAAGUUAAGUGGUAAAGGAUGUGGGAUUGCACAGACAACCAGGAUGUUGGCUUAGAAGCAGCCACUCAUUCAAAGAGUGCGUAAUAGCUCACUGGUCGAGUGAUCCUGCGCCGAAGAUUUCCGGGGCUAAAACUUACUACCGAAGCUACGGCAUCAGUAAUGAUGGGUAGGGGAGCUUCCCAUACGGGUUGAAGCAUGACCGUAAGGACAUGUGGACAGUAUGGGAGUGAGAAUGUUGGCAUGAGUAGCGAGAUGUGGGUGAGAAUCCCACAGGCCGUAAACCCAAGGUUUCCAGGGGAAGGUUCGUCCGCCCUGGGUUAGUCGGGACCUAAGCUGAGGCCGAAAGGCGUAGGUGAUGGACAACAGGUUGAU